Molecule: transfer RNA, 73 nt
Filed under: Petromyzon marinus (sea lamprey)
Lineage: Eukaryota; Metazoa; Chordata; Hyperoartia; Petromyzontiformes; Petromyzontidae
Description: tRNA-Tyr (GTA) (tRNA-Tyr-GTA-32-1)
Rfam family: tRNA
About the family: Transfer RNA (tRNA) molecules are approximately 80 nucleotides in length.
Source: RNAcentral
CCUUCGAUAGCUCAGUUGGUAGAGCUGAGGACUGUAGAUCCUCAGGUCGCUGGUUUGACUCUGGCUCGAAAGA